CACAUGCAAGUCGAGGGAGGAGCUUUCGGGCUUCGACCGGCGUACGGGUGCGUAACGCGUAUACAAUCUGCCUUUCACAUAGGGAUAGCCCGAAGAAAUUUGGAUUAAUACCUAAUGGCAUAUAGGGGUGGCAUCACCUUUAUAUUAAAGCUGAGGCGGUGAAAGAUGAGUAUGCGUUCUAUUAGCAAGUUGGAGAGGUAACGGCUCCCCAAGGCUACGAUAGAUAGGGGUUCUGAGAGGGAUAUCCCCCACACUGGUACUGAGAUACGGACCAGACUCCUACGGGAGGCAGCAGUGAGGAAUAUUGGACAAUGGUCGGAAGACUGAUCCAGCCAUGCCGCGUGCAGGAAGACGGCCUUAUGGGUUGUAAACUGCUUUUGCAGGGGAAGAAUAAGGAGUACGUGUACUUUGAUGACGGUACUCUGCGAAUAAGCAUCGGCUAACUCCGUGCCAGCAGCCGCGGUAAUACGGAGGAUGCGAGCGUUAUCCGGAAUCAUUGGGUUUAAAGGGUCCGUAGGCGGGCUAAUAAGUCAGAGGUGAAAGCGCUCAGCUCAACUGAGCAACUGCCUUUGAAACUGUUAGUCUUGAAUGGUUGUGAAGUAGUUGGAAUGUGUAGUGUAGCGGUGAAAUGCUUAGAUAUUACACAGAACACCGAUAGCGAAGGCAUAUUACUAACAACUAAUUGACGCUGAUGGACGAAAGCGUGGGGAGCGAACAGGAUUAGAUACCCCUGGUAGUCCACUCUGUAAAACGAUGGAUAUUAGCUGUUUGGAUGAAAGUUUGAGUGGCUAAGCGAAAGCGAUAAGUAUCCCACCUGGGGAGUACGC
This 827-nucleotide ribosomal RNA is filed under the name uncultured Bacteroidota bacterium. RNAcentral's name for it is "bacterial SSU rRNA". It matches the Rfam family "Bacterial small subunit ribosomal RNA", at positions 52 to 885 of the family's 1533-position model. Lineage: Bacteria; Pseudomonadati; Bacteroidota. The record is from RNAcentral.